GGGUAAUUAAGCUACAGUAAACCCCUGCUAAUGAAGCCAUGUCACCUCGGUUACUGUUGUUAAUCUUGUGUUAGUUCAAAAUGGUCCAAAUUCAAAUUUAAAUUUAAAGGCAAACAACAAAGGUUUUCAAAAGUUAAAACUAAAAUGUUUGAGAGGUGACAUAUAGUGCAUAGGUAAUUAUGGUGAUGAAACAACAUUUUUGUAAAAUGUUUAAAUGCCCAAAGGUAAAUAAAAUAGCAGCUAAAACAAAUAUUUAAAUGCCUUUUAAAUAAUAAAAAUAUGCAAAGUAUUCUAUUAUUGCACCAAACUUUUUGUGAUAGUGUACCUAAUUGAAAUUCUAUCUUAGGACAUGGAUUCAUAAUAAUAGAACUAAAGUAAAAUAAAAACAAACCAAAGAAUAAUUAAAAGGAAAAGAACAAAACAGGAAAUAAGAAAAAAAAAAGGAAACCACCCCCUUCCCCCCCACUGGGCCAACCGGCCCAGCCGGCCAACCAACUGACCAGGCCGGCCCAUGCCUCUGGCCUACAUAUGCCUCUCCCACUCCCCCAAACCCUAACCGCACUCCCCCCACUCCCCACGACCGCACCCACUCCUCCCACUCCCUCNNNNNNNNNNNNNNNNNNNNNNNNNNNNNNNNNNNNNNNNNNNNNNNNNNNNNNNNNNNNNNNNNNNNNNNNNNNNNNNNNNNNNNNNNNNNNNNNNNNNNNNNNNNNNNNNNNNNNNNNNNNNNNNNNNNNNNNNNNNNNNNNNNNNNNNNNNNNNNNNNNNNNNNNNNNNNNNNNNNNNNNNNNNNNNNNNNNNNNNNNNNNNNNNNNNNNNNNNNNNNNNNNNNNNNNNNNNNNNNNNNNNNNNNNNNNNNNNNNNNNNNNNNNNNNNNNNNNNNNNNNNNNNNNNNNNNNNNNNUCUCUCCCUGUCGCCCGAUCCAAUCGGGAUCGGGCGCCCAUCGCCGCCGCCUGGAGUGCCCCGCCUCCCGAUGUCACCGGCGACCGCCAGUAGGACGCCGCCCCUGCCGCACGCCCGUACCGCCAACGCCGCACGGAGCCCGCGUCGCUCGCGUCCUUGCCGGAGCUGGCCUGCCGACCUAGACCUCGCCGUGGCCUCCUCGUCCCCUCCCCGUGUCGCUACCUCACGCCUCGCCGACCCCCUGAACCCCUGCAACGCUGUGAGCCGCCCCCUCCUCUUUUCCCGUGUUCACCACGCCGCUCGCCGUACCCCCUGCGCUGCACACGCGCGUCGCCAUGGGCCGCGCCCACACGCCGUCCGGCCGGGCCCCGCGAGUGCUCCACCGUCGUCCGCGACCACCUCUGCCCGCCCGUGACCUCGCCUCCCCGCGCGGUCGUCUACGCGUGGCCUUGGCCGCCCACGAACAGCGCUGCUGCUGCCGCCGGCCUCUCCCUGGCCGUGCCAUCCCGCGCCGCUGCCCCCAUGCUCAGGCUUCCCUCGCUGCUCUCCGCGCCGCCCCCUUGCUACUGCUGCCGAUGCGCCGCCUCACCGGCCGCGUUCGCAGCGUGCAGGUGUGCAAAGGGCGAUGGGCCCAGACCCCUGCGCCAUAGGGUUUAGAGCGGCGUGCUGACCUCUCUGUUGUGCCUAGGUAGGGCUGCGACGUGUUGAUCUUUCGAGGUCGGGCAUGACCCAGGAAAGUGUGUCCGGCCAAAUGGGAUCGAGCGUGUUGGGUUAUGUGGUGCACCCCUGUAGGAAAGUUAAUCAAUUCAAAUAGCCGUGAUCUUUAGUAACAGGACGACUUGGAGUUGUACCUUGACCUUAUGACAACUAGAACCGGAUACUUAAUAAAACACACCAUUCCAAGUGCCAGAUACAACCGGUGAUCGCUCUCUCACAGGGCGACGAGGGGAGGAUCAUCGGUUAGGAUUAUGCUAUGCGAUGAUACUUGGUGAACUUACCGUCUACUCUCUUCUCCUGCUGCAAGAUGGAGGUUACCAGAAGCGUAGUCUUCGAAAGGACUAGCUAUCCCCCUCUUAUUCCGGCAUUCUGCAGUUCAGUCCACAUAUGAUACCCUUAUUCCAUUUGAUACCAAUGCAUACAUAUGUAGUGUAGCUCCUUGCUUGCGAGUACUUUGGAUGAGUACUCACGGUUGCUUUUCUCCCCCUUUUCCCCUUUCCUAUAUCCGAUUGCUGCAACCAGACGUUGGAGUCCAGGAGCCAGACGCCACCGUUGAUGACGACUACUACUACUCGGGAGGUGCCUACUACUACGUGCAGCCCGCUGACGACGACCAGGAGUAGUUUAGGAGGAUCCCAGGUAGGAGGUUUGCGCCUCUUUCGAUCUGUAUCCCAGUUUGUGCUAGCCUUCUUAAGGAAAACUUGUUUAACUUAUGUCUGUACUCAGAUAUUGUUCCUUCCGAUGACUCGUCUAUGAUCGAGCUCUUGUAUUCGAGCCCUCGAGGCCCCUGGCUUGUAAUAUGAUGCUUGUAUGACUUAUUUUAUUUGUAGAGUUGUGUUGUGAUAUCUUCUGAUGAGUCCCUGAUCUUGAUCAUACACAUUUGCGUGUAUGAUUAGUGUACAAUUGAAUCGGGGGCGUCACAAGUUGGUAUCAGAGCCCACUGCCUGUAGGAAUCCCCCUUCCACACUGCUUGGUCGAAGUCAAGUCUAGACAUUACAAAACUUUCUACUAACAUGGUUGUGUGCCUUACGGGCCCACGUCGCCAUCUGGGUGGUAUUAGGAUCUUUUACUCCUUGAUCCUUACUCUGGGACUCUAAACUCUCUUCUAUUCGGGUUAAAUGAAAUUUUGCUAAAUCUAACAUUAGGAUCUCGUUAUCACUUUCACUCGGAGAGCCCCUUAUUACUGAUGACCGUCUGCUGUACGUGAAGACCCUGAAGAUACUCUCCGUUGUUAACCCGAGAACUUGUGUUCAUCGCGUUUGCAAUUCCCUUUCCACCGUCAACCCUUAUGGAUAACUACUUGCAGUUAUUAUUCUUACAUUCAUCCCCAGUUGGUCUUGUUAUUACAAGAUACCCCGAACUACUUGACGUUGUUUCGAUAAUCCUUUGAGCUUACUGCAUUGCUGUUCUUUGUCACCUGAAUACCCCUAUGGAUAAUUCUCGCACUUAUCGAGUAUCCGCUCACCCCCAGUUGUUCAUGUGUUUCACAAUGGUCUUCGAAAUACUAUUCGAUCCUCCAAGAAUCCUUAGUAGCUUAUUGCUCUGCAAUACUUGUCUGCUUGCAUUAUGGAUGCUUUCCAUAUGUCUGGCAAUAUUCGUUAGUAUCCUUAGACAUCGUAAAUUUUGAUCCUAUUGAUUCAACAUGAGUGCGAAUGGCACGCUAUUAUCAGUUGAUCCUUUUAAAUUAUCUUUCUGGCUCAGACGUCAUUUUUGAACAUGAGCUUGUUCUCGGCCAAUCUGUUGCCGUCAAUUGUACCCUUAGGUCUAUUGAACUUAUCCACCCUUGAUCAGAGCGUCUGCUUCUGAUCCUUCUAUUUGGGAAUCAUAAUUUCUUUGAUAACUAAGCAUGGAAUCAUUCAGGUGUUCUAUAAUCUGAUGCCCUUGCAUCCUUUCUUCAACUGAUUGUGUGCCGAUGCUCACAUCAACUCCGCUCUAGACCGUCAGAUCCUUUAUUGGAUUAUUAUUUAAUAGUGUCCUCCUUAUUCAAUAACCUUGUGAGACUUUCCUCGGAUACAUAAUGCUUUUGGUGAAUUGUAUCCUCUGUUUUUCUCCACCAUGCUCUAUUUUCGAGCUGGUGGUAUUUACGAAUGAAGCUUGUGGUAUAUGAUUCCAUGAAACCCUGACGGGUUGAACCUAUGCUUUUCUUAAUCUGUGUGAACCCGAAAGUUUUCACGGUUCAUACUCCUCUGGUAAUUCAUCAGGUAGGUUUUGACACUGAAAUCAUUUUUAUCUAGAGCAGUGAAUGAAAGGUUAUGCAUUGAAGAAGUGGGAGUCGACCUUGAACUUUGUGUUCAUUCCCAUGGACACGAUGUAGAUCUUAUCAUUAAAGCUUCUCUUAAAUUAAAUUUUUCCCUUGGUAUAAGUUCUUAUAUCCGGGAUCCGGCCUUUUGCAAUCGUGGUUUCAACCAUAUGUUCUUCUUUGACCCCAUUUCACGGACAAGUUUAAGCACUUGUCUUCUGUGGAUCAAUACACCAGUCCAACCUGUACUUUAAUCUUCCGUCGAGUAUUACACCAUGGUACCUCGAUAAUAUCAAGUACUACAUGACCCCUUAUGAGUUCUUCAUCAAGUUCUACAUUUUCAUUGAUUCCAAUUUUUCAUGGGCUCUGAGUUAUUAAACACUCAAAGACCGAUAACUGAAUCGAGUCCACACUACGGUUCAACAACUAUUAUGAAUCUUCUUUGCUUAUGAGUUUGUACCCGAUCACGUCCUUCCUACCCUAUUUGGCUAUAUCAUUAUUGUGAUGAUUUUAACUGUGCUACCUGGUCCUUAUUCCCGGAGCACAACUUUCGACGAUGAGCUAAGCUUACGUCGAUCUUCCUCAUCAUACCAUUUUGCCUUAAACAACGAGCUUGGUUUCGUGUUUGUGUCAUACCUUGGGUUCAAUAACCUUUCGCUUCAUCAUUCCUUUGGCUUGAUGUCAUCGCCGACCGAUUACAUCUUCAUGAAAUCUCUCAACAAUUGUGUCGUGAUCAUCAUCGGCAUUCUGAGCUCUUCCAGGAUGUCAAUUGAGUUCAUUACGAGAAAUACCAUCCUUGCCCUCGAUGAAUUGUGUUAUCUUUGACCACUUUAUUGCCUUCCGUUCAACACAAACUUGUUCGUGUUUUGUGUUAUACCUUGAGAUCCCUGCUAACCAGCAUUUGUUCUUCUUUACCUUGGAGUAUUACCAUCUUUUAAUAUCAAGGAUGUUGUGAGGACUGCUCCACCUCUUAAUGGAAUUCUUGGUAUUGUGAUGCUUCUUGCCAUCACCAUUCUUUUCUUGGCCCCCGUGUUGAGUGAACUCUGUUCUGAGAAUUUGAUAUCUCUAGCAACCCUAUUGCUUCAAAGUUAAUGGACAAUAAUUCCAAUUUGGUGUACUGGUUGCUAAAUCGCCAUUCUGAUGUUGGUCGUGCAACCCAACCCAUAUUUCGGGUGCACCUUUCAACCCAUGUUUAAUUGUGUAUGUUUUCCUUGAACAUACAUCAUUAUAUUGUAUUGUUCGAUCUGACAAAUGUUAUCUCCUUGUUCACAUAGUUGUGGAAAUCCAUCUUUUGUUAAUCUCGAUGAAUUGUCGCUGAUUCCAUCAGCCACCUCCUCAUCCUCUCGUUGGUUUACUAAUGAACUCUUGUUUCGGAACUCGCUUCCAUAGUUCAAUUCCCGAGAAUCUUACAAUGUCACCUCGACAAUUUGUGUUGCACCUUUCUUCUCAGUCAUCCCGUGUCUGAGUUAUCUUGACACCAAUCAGAUCUGAAUCUCGGUCAGAUAUGAUGGUUGGAACAUAUUUCAAGAGUUAUAACUUUGAUCCUCAUAUGACCCGGUAAGAUGAUAUCAUGCCUAGCACACUUGAUCGGAGGACCUAUUGUUAUAGUAUCCUCUCUAGCAAGGUUACCCAUUCUUUUGUGAGGAAAUUGCAAGACUUAUAAUAUAAGUUGUUCCUGAUGAAUCCCUUCGUGUAUCCAGAGUCUGACCUUUGCUUAAAGACCAUGUCAAUGCUAUCUCGAAGCAUGUCUAUGGUACUCUUAUCAUCGAUAAGAACAUUUGAAGCACAAUGCUAACUUUCUAUAUCAUUUAUCCUAACACCGUAGCAUGGGCAAUGUCAUGAAAUUACUCUGUUUUCUACUUUCUAUCCUGUCAUGGAUAUCAUGCUCUACUUGUCUUUGGAAGGGUAUACCCCUGAAAUGUGUGUUUAAACACAUUUUCCUUUCCAUUGUUCUGUUAAUCUGAUAAUCACAUUUUCCUUUCCAUUGUUUUGUUUAACCUUCUUGAGGUUUAUAUGAUCUAAGCAGUAAUAAGUCACUGUUUUUGUAAGCACCUCGGUGUACAACUCUGUCAGUAAGAACCAAUUACUAUUGUUGAUGACAUUCAGGUAUCCACCGAUUGACGAGAACUUUGCCUAAUGGCCACCUCGUUCAACGAGCAGGAAAAUGGUUCUCUUCGUCCCUCGCCCUUGGUACCGAGGUUGUUGCCGACAUAACUAACAGGCUAUCCUCUGACAUGCCUUGCUUACAUGAUCGUGCAAGACAUCACCGCCCUUCCUACUUUUAACCCACAUGGUGGGCCCAUAACCCACAGUUCCACAGGAUCGAAACCUGACUCCUGUACACCUUGUUGACAAAGUUAUCCUUUGCUCUUGGUUUCAUAGAUAAUUCGCGAGCCACCCUCCUAGUGCUCCAUUCUGGUAUCAGACGCAAUACUUACUCUCGCCGCUCUGAACCCCUUUCUCACUAUGGUUCAGACUUUGAGCAGCUAUCUAUCCGCUUGGACCCUCUCAUUGUACCUUUGUACCUUACUCUCGAUGUAUUUUAUAUGUUCAACUCGAGAGAUAAUCUUAUGCUCACUCAUGGGUUAACCCAGAUUGUUUCCCUCAUAAGCAUUCUGUCGUAGCCAAGCUACCCCUUACCUAUUCGUAAGUACGUUGGAGUUCCUGAAGAAAAUGAUGACUUCACCAUGAUGACCUGAAGCAGAGAAAUGAAGACGUCAAUGUAAGGUAUCGACCUCUUCAAGAAGAGCAUCCAAGACCUAGAAGAUUCGUUAGAAUUUCGUAGCCACGUCUUUCCCUUACUCCCCUCCUAAUUAUCGGGAUGAGAUUUCUUGUAGUGGAGGAGAAUUGUGACGCCCGGGUAAUUAAGCUACAGUAAACCCCUGCUAAUGAAGCCAUGUCACCUCGGUUACUGUUGUUAAUCUUGUGUUAGUUCAAAAUGAUCCAAAUUCAAAUUUAAAUUUAAAGGCAAACAACAAAGGUUUUCAAAAGUUAAAACUAAAAUGUUCGAGAGGUGACAUAUAAUGCAUAGGUAAUUAUGGUGAUGAAACCACAUUUUAUAAAAUGUUUAAAUGCUCAAAGGUAAAUAAAACAGCAGCUAAAACAAAUAUUUAAAUGCCUUUUAAAUAAUAAAAAUAUGC
Molecule: long non-coding RNA, 6999 nt
Filed under: Triticum aestivum (bread wheat)
Lineage: Eukaryota; Viridiplantae; Streptophyta; Magnoliopsida; Poales; Poaceae
Description: long non-coding RNA (TAES_LNC025913)
Source: RNAcentral